Molecule: long non-coding RNA, 495 nt
Filed under: Neogale vison (American mink)
Lineage: Eukaryota; Metazoa; Chordata; Mammalia; Carnivora; Mustelidae
Description: Neovison vison (American mink) lncRNA (ENSNVIG00000004961.1)
Source: RNAcentral
GUUUUAGAUAAUUUUGCUUUCUCGUCCUAAGGUACAGAGGUACGAAGUCAGACAAUCAAGUGGCAACUGAACACGGUUAAUGGAGACUUGAAAUUCUUCCGAGCCCUUCCGCUCAGGAGGCAGCUCCAGGCUGGGCAUGGUGGAGAGGGGCCACCGUGAUGAGCAAACAGCCCUGGAGAAGUGAGAGAGGCUGCACCCCGCCUGCCUGCUGAGAACACCCAUGCAGACGUUGGCCAGUGCCUGGGGGCUGGGCUCUCUCACAUGCCUCACGCAUGCGAUCGGCCGGUUUUCCUUACAGAUCCAAGAAGCAGCUACUGAGGACUACACAUGUUGCAGGCCAUAGAUGCCCUACGCUGGACCCUUCCACGUACAGAUUUGGAUCCAUGGGCCCCCAAGCCGGUCACAGUGUUCACCAGAUUUUGCAGAUGGGAAAAGGCGGAGCUGCAGGAGGCCAGGUGACACGCCAAGGUCCUGUGGCCAGGUAUUACACCUAGG